AGUAAUGACACUGGUCUCUGUGCCUUUCUAUUGACAUUUUGUUUUUAAAAAAGCAAGCGGGCAAACAACUGGCUGCUAUAAUGGGAGACACUUAACUGUUUAUUACCUGUUUAUCUAAGCAGCACAUAGUCCUCAAAACAGCACACUUUUAGGUGCUGCAUGUUAACAUUGGCAUACCAUUUGCAAAAUACAAACUACAACAGAUGUCUGAAGUGGACUGGUUUGCUGCAAAGACCAUUGCAGAUGCAGUUUCUGCACUGCUGGAGGAACACUGGACACUGUGGCAGAAAUUCAAAGAGAAGCUAUGACGCUCAGUGAAAUUAUUGACCUCUCCUGGACUUCUGGGACAACAAAGUACUACUGGGCAAACAAGAAAAAUAACUUGGAGACAAAUGGAUAAAUCAUUUCCCACAUCAAAACAUUUAUUAACUGCA
Aquila chrysaetos chrysaetos is the source of this 434-nucleotide long non-coding RNA. RefSeq lists it as uncharacterized. The record is from RefSeq and is a predicted model, not a curated record. Lineage: Eukaryota; Metazoa; Chordata; Aves; Accipitriformes; Accipitridae. The transcript is spliced from 2 exons.